Molecule: ribosomal RNA, 256 nt
Filed under: uncultured bacterium
Lineage: Bacteria
Description: partial 16S ribosomal RNA
Rfam family: Archaeal small subunit ribosomal RNA
Source: RNAcentral
UACCAGCACCCCGAGUGGUCGGGACGUUUUAUUGGGCCUAAAGCAUCCGUAGCCGGUUCUACAAGUCUUCCGUUAAAUCCAACUGCUUAACAGGUGGGCUGCGGAAGAUACUAUAGAGCUAGGAGGCGGGAGAGGCAAGCGGUACUCGAUGGGUAGGGGUAAAAUCCGUUGAUCCAUUGAAGACCACCAGUGGCGAAGGCGGCUUGCCAGAACGCGCCUCGACGGUGAGGGAUGAAAGCUGGGGGGAGCAAACCGG